This is a long non-coding RNA of Amphiprion ocellaris (clown anemonefish), 1331 nucleotides long. The record is from Ensembl. Lineage: Eukaryota; Metazoa; Chordata; Actinopteri; Pomacentridae.
AAACUUUUCAGGAAGUAGAUGAAGAACAAUUAAAGCUCUCAUGUAGAAGUCCAACUUAUUUCGGAUCCUUGGGGAGAGUUUAAUCUUAGAGUUUAUAAAGCUGUUGAGUUUUUAGAGUCACAUGGAACCGAGUCCUGAAAUAAAAUUACAGUUGUGGAUUUCUGUCAUUUAGUCUGGACUAAACAAAUAACAGCAGCAUAAAUCUCAUCAUUAUGAGGAGUCUGGACUGAGGUUUCUCACUUGAUAAUGAUCAAAACAUGAAAUUUAGGUUGGUUUAAAGGAAUUUUCCACCUUAAAUCUUUGAAUGUUGACUUAAAAGGUUGGUUUCAGGAAGUAUUCCACCUGCAAGGUCCUCAAACAUCCACCUUAAAGGAACAUUCCACCAAAAAUCCUUCGACAUGCACCUAAAAUGUUGGCUUAACAGAGUAUUCCAUCCAAAGUCCUCAGAGAGACCUGAGGGGCUGGUUAAAAGGAAUAUUCCACCUAAAACCCCAAAUAUAGACCCGAAAGGGUGGUUUUAGAAAAAAUCCUUCAAUGUAGGCCAAAAAAGUUAGUAUGGAUGAAUAGUCCACCUGAAAUGUAGACAAAUAAUCUACAAAAAUGUAGAUGAUUUUUUUUUUUUUUGAAAAAAAAUCAUCAUGAAUUUUGGCACAAAAAAACGCCAUAGUACAUUAUGUCGAAAAAAAAAUGUGAUUUUUCAGCAUGUUGUAAAAACGUGCCAUAUGAUGAAAUAAUGUAAAAGAGGCCGUGAAAAACACUCCAGAAAGGUUUUCAUUGGAAAAAAAAUCAUCAUGAAUUUUGGCGCAAAAAAAAACGCCAUCGUAUACUGUCGAAAAAAAAUGGGAUUUUUCAAACAUCUUGUAAAAACAUGCCAUAUGAUGAAAUAAUGUAAAGGAGGCCAUGAAAAACACUCCAGAAUGGUUUUCUUUGAAAAAAAAAUCAUGAAUUUUGGCGCUCUUGUCACAUUUUGGACGACAUACUAAACCAUGACUUUUACGAGGUUUUAAUAAUAUUUUCAAUGACAAAGAAUAUGUCUUAGAUCUUUUUGUUCCCAAAGCUGGAAUCGAACCUGCGUCUUCAAUGUACUUCUGUUUAGGAGUCACGCUCUUAACCAGUUGAGCUACCUGGACAGCUUGUUUUUAGCUCUUGGACGACAUCCUAAACUAUGAUGUUUUUUUCCACAUUUUGGACGACAUACUAAACUAUGACGUUUUUUCCACAUUAUGGACGACAUACUAAACUAUGCCUUUUUUUCCACAUUUUGGACGACAUACUAAACUAUGACAUUUUUUUCCACAUUUUGGACGACAUACUAAACUAUGAUGUUUUUU